This 208-nucleotide ribosomal RNA is filed under the name uncultured bacterium. RNAcentral describes it as "partial 16S ribosomal RNA". It matches the Rfam family "Bacterial small subunit ribosomal RNA", at positions 568 to 774 of the family's 1533-position model. The record is from RNAcentral.
CUCGUAGGCGGUUCGGUAAGUCGGGUGUGAAAACUCUGGGCUCAACCCAGAGAGGCCACUCGAUACUGCUGUGACUAGAGUGCGGUAGGGGAGCGGGGAAUUUCUGGUGUAGCGGUGAAAUGCGCAGAUAUCAGAAGGAACACCAGUGGCGAAGGCGCCGCUCUGGGCCGUAACUGACGCUGAGGAGCGAAAGCAUGGGUAGCAAACA